Molecule: long non-coding RNA, 587 nt
Filed under: Nicotiana tabacum (common tobacco)
Lineage: Eukaryota; Viridiplantae; Streptophyta; Magnoliopsida; Solanales; Solanaceae
Description: long non-coding RNA (NTAB_LNC007247)
Source: RNAcentral
UCAAUUCAGUCAGCAUUAGGGUUUUAAACCCUAAUCUGAGCUUUUCCAUGCAAUCAGCAUUAGGGUUUUAAACCCUAAACUGAAUUUUUCCUUUAGUCAGCAUUAGGGUUUUAAACCCUAAACUGAACUUUUUUCCAUUCAGCCAGCAUUAGGGUUUUAAACCCUAAACUGAGCUUUUUCAUGCAAUCAGCAUUAGGGUUUUAAACCUUAAACUGAACUUUUUUCAAUUCAGUCAGCAUUAGGGUUUUAAACCCUAAUCUGAGCUUUUUCAUGCAAUCAGCAUUAGGGUUUUAAACCCUAAACUGAAUUUUCCCUUUAGUCAGCAUUAGGGUUUUAAACCCUAAACUAAACUUUUUUCCAUUCAGCCAGCAUUAGGGUUUUAAACCCUAAACUGAGCUUUUCCAUGCAAUCAGCAUUAGGGUUUUAAACCCAAACUGAAUUUUUCCUUUAGUCAGCAUUAGGGUUUUAAACCCUAAACUGAACUUUUUUCCAUUCAGCCAGCAUUAGGGUUUUAAACCCUAAACUGAGCUUUUCCAUGCAAUCAGCAUUAAGGUUUUAAACCCUAAACUGAAUUCUUCCUUUGUUCA